This 370-nucleotide ribosomal RNA is filed under the name uncultured bacterium. RNAcentral's name for it is "bacterial SSU rRNA". It matches the Rfam family "Bacterial small subunit ribosomal RNA", at positions 30 to 399 of the family's 1533-position model. The record is from RNAcentral.
CCUGAACGCUGGCGGCGUGGCUAAGACAUGCAAGUCGAACGGGACCCGCAAGGGUUCAGUGGCGGACGGGUGAGUAAUGUAUCGCUAAUGUGCCCCGGAGCCUGGGAGUAGCCAGCCGAAAGGCUGGGUAAGUACCAGAUGAUAUAUCCUGAUCGCAUGGUCGGGACCGUCAAAGACAGCAAUGCACUCUGGGAGCAGGCGAUAUCGUAUCAGCUAGUUGGUGAGGUAACGGCUCACCAAGGCGACGACGCGUAGCUGGUCUGAGAGGACGGCCAGCCACAUUGGGACUGAGACACUGCCCAGACUCCUACGGGGGGCGUGCAGUAACGAAUCUUCCGCAAUGCAACGAAAGUGUGACGGAGCGACGCCG